Molecule: small nucleolar RNA, 72 nt
Organism: Protopterus annectens (West African lungfish)
Lineage: Eukaryota; Metazoa; Chordata; Ceratodontiformes; Protopteridae
Product: small nucleolar RNA SNORD49
Exons: 1
Source: RefSeq, a predicted model, not a curated record
UAUUAUGAUGAGAACUGAGUAGGAAGUGCCGUCAGAUGCGAAAACUGAUGAUGCUUUUCACACUUUCUGAUA